This 1545-nucleotide ribosomal RNA is filed under the name human gut metagenome. Its description in RNAcentral is "bacterial LSU rRNA". It matches the Rfam family "Bacterial large subunit ribosomal RNA", at positions 826 to 2443 of the family's 2925-position model. The record is from RNAcentral.
AUUCCAAUCGAACUCGGAGAUAGCUGGUUCUCCCCGAAAUAGCUUUAGGGCUAGCGUUAUUUUAGAUUACCGGAGGUAAAGCACUGAAUGGUCUAGGGGCCGCGAGGUUACCAAAGCCUAUCAAACUCUGAAUGCCGGAUAAUUGAUGAAUAGCAGUCAGACUGUGUGAGAUAAGUCUCAUAGUCAAAAGGGAAACAGCCCAGAUCUACAGCUAAGGUCCCAAAUGAACACUAAGUGGAAAAUGAUGUGAAACUGCGAAGACAACCAGGAUGUUGGCUUAGAAGCAGCCACUCAUUCAAAGAGUGCGUAAUAGCUCACUGGUCGAGUGGUUUUGCGCAGAAAAUGUAACGGGGCUAAGUGUUCAACCGAAGCUUAGGCAUUGCAGUAAUGCAUUGGGUAGGGGAGCGUCGUAUGCGGGGCGAAGUCAGAGCGGAAGCACUGGUGGACUGCAUACGAGUGAGAAUGCCGGAAUAAGUAGCGAGAAUUAUGUGAGAAUCAUAAUGGCCGAAAAUCUAAGGUUUCUUGGGGAAGGUUCGUCCGCCCAAGGUUAGUCGGGAGCUAAGCUCAGGCCGAAAGGCGUAGGCGAUGCACAUACGGUAGAAAUUCCGUAACCACCGAACAUUUAAGCUAGAGGGACGCUUUCUUUAAGGUUAUCCCGGGCGAUGGUUGCCCCGGGCGUAAGGGACCGAAAUAUAGUAGGGAAGUAAAUGGCGAGAGAGACGAGAAAAGCUCUAGUGUAUACUAAGGUGCCCGUACCGCAAACCGACACAGGUAGAUGGGAUGAGUAUUCUAAGGCCAACGGGAGAAGGGUUGUUAAGGAACUCGGCAAAUUGGCCCCGUAACUUCGGGAUAAGGGGCGCCUGCGAGAGCAGGCCGCAGUGAAAAGGCCCAAGCGACUGUUUAGCAAAAACACAGCUCUCUGCUAAAUCGAAAGAUGACGUAUAGGGGGUGACGCCUGCCCGGUGCUGGAAGGUUAAGGGGAGUGCUUAGCAGCAAUGCGAAGGUGCGAACUUAAGCCCCAGUAAACGGCGGCCGUAACUAUAACGGUCCUAAGGUAGCGAAAUUCCUUGUCAGGUAAGUUCUGACCCGCACGAAUGGCGUAACGAUUUGGGCACUGUCUCAACAGCCCGCCCGGCGAAAUUGUAGUACCGGUGAAGAUGCCGGUUUCCCGCAACUAGACGGAAAGACCCCAUGGAGCUUCACUGUAGCUUGAUAUUGGAUCUCGGUAUUCCAUGUACAGGAUAGGUGGGAGACUUGGAAGUAAGCGCGCCAGCGUUUAUGGAGUCAACCUUGGGAUACCACUCUUGGGAUAUUGGGAUUCUAACCUGCGACCAUGAAUCUGGUCGGGGGACACUGUCAGGUGGGCAGUUUGACUGGGGCGGUCGCCUCCAAAAGAGUAACGGAGGCGCUCAAAGGUUCGCUCAGCAUGGUCGGAAACCAUGCCUUAGAGUGUAAACGCAAAAGCGAGCCUAACUGCGAGGCUGACGGGCCGAGCAGUAACGAAAGUUGGAGUUAGUGAUCCGGCGGUAUGUGAAUGGAAAUGCC